This 1691-nucleotide unclassified non-coding RNA is filed under the name Hevea brasiliensis (rubber tree). Lineage: Eukaryota; Viridiplantae; Streptophyta; Magnoliopsida; Malpighiales; Euphorbiaceae. The record is from RNAcentral.
ACAAAAAAAAAAAAAAGGCUCAAAUAACAAUAAUAGAAUAACCCUCCUAUAUAUAUAAGAAAUCAAUUAGCCAUUACCAGCACUUAGUCAGCCUUUGUGGCAAAGUUAGCUCAUCAAGGAUGAUUUUGUCAACCAUUGUCAAUGUCUCACACAAGUCCAAAAACUUAAGAGUUUUUUUUUUUUUUUGAAAGAAACAGGUUUGGUGGCAGGAAACAACCAAGAGAGUUCUUUAAAGUUGUGCAGUUUUUCUGUUUUAUGGAGACUUCAGAUGCAAAAGAACGCAGGCAAUUUCACAAAAUAAAAGUUUGUUCUUUAAUUGUGUGAAAAGGUGGUAUUUUUGGUUUGUAUUGUAUGUUGCUUCUGGAGCUUUCCAAGAGAUCUCUUUUGAGUGUUAUUCAGUUUGAUUAGAUGCCAUUAAUAUUUUUUGGUUUGUUCUUUAUAUUUUUGUUUGUAGUUGCAUGUUGAGUUUUCUGGGAGGACAUCUCAUCUUCUAUGUUGUACUCUCUUCAUUAUCAUAAAAUUUCUUUUCAUAUCCAAAAAAUAAAUAAAUAUAUAAAGGCAUCACCCUUUGAGCUUUGGUAGAUCAUCCUCACCAGCCAUUCACCAGGAUAUGAUUUAACUGUUUCCAAGGACAUGGUUAGUGCAUGAUUCGACUGUAUGGUCUAUAGCUUGAUAAAACAAAUGAUGAGUGCACAGACGUGAGAGAGAAAUGGGAGCUAUACAGCAAAGGAGCAACAAUAAUACUGGAUAAUGACUAAGGAAUACCUGAACACAAAGCAGUUGCCCAGCUACUGAUGAAGUUAAUGGAGCUUGCCAAUAAACGACAAGGAGAUUUUGUUGUGCAGGAAAGUAUUUUUUGUUUUAAGAAAAUUAUAGCCUCUUGAAAGAUAAAGACAGCAGGAAUGUUUUGCAGCAGUUUUUAUGGCUAGAAUCCAGAAAAGUAAACUUCAGUGUAAUAGAAUGCUUUAGAAGUUAAGUUAGAAAACAAUAAUUAAGUUAUUUAUGAUGAAAGUACUUCACUUUGAUGCAACUUCUCAGUGGAAGAAGGUAGUUGCUUGCUAGUUGGCAAUUGCUGCUCUAAAAUUAUAAGGAGCUUACAGCUAAUAAUAGCUUAGAAGUGGAGAGGCAAUAAUACUUCAAACUUCAAUGUGAAGAAACUUUAGCAUUAGAAACAUUUAUUUUGAUGAGAGGCGGUAAUACUUCAAAGUUCAAUGUGAAGAAACUUUUGCAUCAGAAUCAUUUAGUUUGUUGCGAGUGUUUUCUUUUUUCUUUUUCUAUCUUUCCAUACUGAAAUAUCAAAAUCGCACACAUAAACUAACACGGAUAAAAAAAAAUGCAAUAAGCACAUAAAUAUAUCCAAUAGACAGAAGAGGCCAAUAAAAUCCCUGUAUUACACAUGCAGACUGAAAAGUUGGCUAAAUGAGUUUUACGUAUGAAGUAUGUAAACCAAUUGGCAAGACUACGAAUACAAACUUAAAAAACAAGUUUCAACUUUACCGAAAACUAGAAAGAAUGGAGGGACCAGCCAGCACAUCUCCACUUGUAGAUACCAUGACAGGAUCCACCACCAAAGCUGCCUUCAAAUAUCUGAUUAAGUCAACUCAAAAGCCACGAGAACACAUCAACUUGCAUAUCAGAAAGCACAGACUUCAACUGCUCAGCAACAAAAUCCUGAGGAACAAUGUUUACAC